AUUGAACAUAAGAGUUUGAUCCUGGCUCAGAUUGAACGCUGGCGGCAUGCUUUACACAUGCAAGUCGGACGGCAGCACAGAGAAGCUUGCUUCUCGGGUGGCGAGUGGCGAACGGGUGAGUAACAUAUCGGAACGUACCGAGUAGUGGGGGAUAACUGAUCGAAAGAUCAGCUAAUACCGCAUACGUCUUGAGAGAGAAAGCAGGGGACCUUUGGGCCUUGCGCUAUUCGAGCGGCCGAUAUCUGAUUAGCUGGUUGGUGGGGUAAAGGCCUACCAAGGCGACGAUCAGUAGCGGGUCUGAGAGGAUGAUCCGCCACACUGGGACUGAGACACGGCCCAGACUCCUACGGGAGGCAGCAGUGGGGAAUUUUGGACAAUGGGCGCAAGCCUGAUCCAGCCAUGCCGCGUGUCUGAAGAAGGCCUUCGGGUUGUAAAGGACUUUUGUCAGGGAAGAAAAGGCUGUUGCUAAUAUCAGCGGCUGAUGACGGUACCUGAAGAAUAAGCACCGGCUAACUACGUGCCAGCAGCCGCGGUAAUACGUAGGGUGCGAGCGUUAAUCGGAAUUACUGGGCGUAAAGCGGGCGCAGACGGUUACUUAAGCAGGAUGUGAAAUCCCCGGGCUCAACCCGGGAACUGCGUUCUGAACUGGGUGACUCGAGUGUGUCAGAGGGAGGUAGAAUUCCACGUGUAGCAGUGAAAUGCGUAGAGAUGUGGAGGAAUACCGAUGGCGAAGGCAGCCUCCUGGGAUAACACUGACGUUCAUGCCCGAAAGCGUGGGUAGCAAACAGGAUUAGAUACCCUGGUAGUCCACGCCCUAAACGAUGUCAAUUAGCUGUUGGGCAACUUGAUUGCUUAGUAGCGUAGCUAACGCGUGAAAUUGACCGCCUGGGGAGUACGGUCGCAAGAUUAAAACUCAAAGGAAUUGACGGGGACCCGCACAAGCGGUGGAUGAUGUGGAUUAAUUCGAUGCAACGCGAAGAACCUUACCUGGUCUUGACAUGUACGGAAUCCUCCAGAGACGGAGGAGUGCCUUCGGGAGCCGUAACACAGGUGCUGCAUGGCUGUCGUCAGCUCGUGUCGUGAGAUGUUGGGUUAAGUCCCGCAACGAGCGCAACCCUUGUCAUUAGUUGCCAUCAUUCAGUUGGGCACUCUAAUGAGACUGCCGGUGACAAGCCGGAGGAAGGUGGGGAUGACGUCAAGUCCUCAUGGCCCUUAUGACCAGGGCUUCACACGUCAUACAAUGGUCGGUACAGAGGGUAGCCAAGCCGCGAGGCGGAGCCAAUCUCACAAAACCGAUCGUAGUCCGGAUUGCACUCUGCAACUCGAGUGCAUGAAGUCGGAAUCGCUAGUAAUCGCAGGUCAGCAUACUGCGGUGAAUACGUUCCCGGGUCUUGUACACACCGCCCGUCACACCAUGGGAGUGGGGGAUACCAGAAGUAGGUAGGGUAACCGCAAGGAGCCCGCUUACCACGGUAUGCUUCAUGACUGGGGUGAAGUCGUAACAAGGUAGCCGUAGGGGAACCUGCGGCUGGAUCACCUCCUUUCUAG
This 1548-nucleotide ribosomal RNA is filed under the name Neisseria meningitidis. RNAcentral's name for it is "bacterial SSU rRNA". It matches the Rfam family "Bacterial small subunit ribosomal RNA". Lineage: Bacteria; Pseudomonadati; Pseudomonadota; Betaproteobacteria; Neisseriales; Neisseriaceae. The record is from RNAcentral.